RNAcentral lists this ribosomal RNA (497 nucleotides) under uncultured bacterium. Its description in RNAcentral is "partial 16S ribosomal RNA". It matches the Rfam family "Bacterial small subunit ribosomal RNA", at positions 28 to 507 of the family's 1533-position model. The record is from RNAcentral.
GAUGAACGCUGGCGGCGUGCCUAAUACAUGCAAGUCGAGCGAACAGAUGAGGAGCUUGCUCCUCUGACGUUAGCGGCGGACGGGUGAGUAACACGUGGAUAACCUACCUAUAAGACUGGGAUAACUUCGGGAAACCGGAGCUAAUACCGGAUAAUAUAUUGAACCGCAUGGUUCAAUAGUUAAAGACGGUUUUGCUGUCACUUAUAGAUGGAUCCGCGCCGCAUUAGCUAGUUGGUAAGGUAACGGCUUACCAAGGCAACGAUGCGUAGCCGACCUGAGAGGGUGAUCGGCCACACUGGAACUGAGACACGGUCCAGACUCCUACGGGAGGCAGCAGUAGGGAAUCUUCCGCAAAGGGCGAAAGCCUGACGGAGCAACGCCGCGUGAGUGAUGAAGGUCUUCGGAUCGUAAAACUCUGUUAUUAGGGAAGAACAAAUGUGUAAGUAACUAUGCACGUCUUGACGGUACCUAAUCAGAAAGCCACGGCUAACUACGUG